Molecule: ribosomal RNA, 497 nt
Filed under: uncultured bacterium
Lineage: Bacteria
Description: partial 16S ribosomal RNA
Rfam family: Bacterial small subunit ribosomal RNA
Source: RNAcentral
GAUGAACGCUGGCGGCGUGCCUAAUACAUGCAAGUCGAGCGAACAGACGAGGAGCUUGCUCCUCUGACGUUAGCGGCGGACGGGUGAGUAACACGUGUAUAACCUACCUAUCAGACUGGGAUAACUUCGGGAAACCGGAGCUAAUACCGGAUAAUAUAUUGAACCGCAUGGUUCAAUAGUGAAAGACGGUUUUGCUGUCACUUAUAGCUGGAUCCGCGCCGCAUUAGCUAGUUGGUAAGGUAACGGCUUACCAAGGCAACGAUGCGUAGCCGACCUGUGAGGGUGAUAGGCCACACUGGAACUGGGACACGGUCCAGACUCCUACGAGAGGCAGCAGUAGGGAAUCUUCCGCAAUGGGCGAAAGCCUGACGGAGCAACGCCGCGUGAGUGAUGAAGGUCUUCGGAUCGUAAAACUCUGUUAUUAGGGAAGAACAAAUGUGUAAGUAACUAUGCACGUCUUGACGGUACCUAAUCAGAAAGCCACGGCUAACUACGUG